UAGCCGCGGUAACACCAGCCCCGCGAGUGGUCGGGGUGAUUAUUGGGCCUAAAGCGCCCGUAGCCGGCCCGGCAAGUCCUCCCUUAAAGCCUCGGGCUCAACCCGAGGACGGGGAGGAUACUGCCGGGCUAGGGGGCGGGAGAGGCCGGCGGUACUCCCGGGGUAGGGGCGAAAUCCGUUAAUCCCGGGAGGACCACCAGUGGCGAAGGC
RNAcentral lists this ribosomal RNA (210 nucleotides) under uncultured archaeon. RNAcentral's name for it is "partial 16S ribosomal RNA". It matches the Rfam family "Archaeal small subunit ribosomal RNA", at positions 462 to 673 of the family's 1478-position model. The record is from RNAcentral.